RNAcentral lists this ribosomal RNA (568 nucleotides) under uncultured Candidatus Saccharibacteria bacterium. Its description in RNAcentral is "bacterial SSU rRNA". It matches the Rfam family "Bacterial small subunit ribosomal RNA", at positions 780 to 1360 of the family's 1533-position model. Lineage: Bacteria; Candidatus Saccharimonadota. The record is from RNAcentral.
AGAUACCCGGGUAGUCCACGCCGUAAACGAUGGAUACUAGCUGUUGGAGGUAUCGACCCCUUCAGUAGCGAAGCUAACGCGUUAAGUAUCCCGCCUGUGGAGUACGGCCGCAAGGCUAAAACAUAAAGGAAUUGACGGGGACCCGCACAAGCGGUGGAUUAUGUUCUUUAAUUCGAUGAUAACCGAAGAACCUUACCAGGGCUUGACAUCCAGGGAAGGUCUGCGAAAGUAGACUGUGCCUUUUGGAACCCUGUGACAGGUGAUGCAUGGCCGUCGUCAGCUCGUGUCGUGAGAUGUUAGGUUAAGUCCUUCAACGAGCGCAACCCUUGCAAGUAGUUGUAUUUUUCUACUUGGACUGCCCCGGUAACGGGGAGGAAGGAGGGGAUGAUGUCAGGUCAGUAUUUCCCUUACGUCCUGGGCUAGAAACGUAAUACAAUGGCUAGUACAAUGCGCAGCGAAGCCGCGAGGUGAAGCAAAUCGCAUCAAAGCUAGUCCCAGUUCGGAUUGGAGGCUGAAACUCGCCUCCAUGAAGUCGGAAUCGCUAGUAAUCGCAGAUCUAACAGGCUUA